UCGUGUGUCGAUGAAGAACGCAGCUAGCUGCGNUAUGUUAUGCGACUUGCNGAAGACAUUGAGCAUAAAGAUUUCGAACGCACAUUGCGCCAUUGGGUUCUUCCCUUUGGCACGCCUGGUUGAGGGUCGA
RNAcentral lists this ribosomal RNA (130 nucleotides) under Gnathostoma turgidum. Its description in RNAcentral is "partial 5.8S ribosomal RNA". It matches the Rfam family "5.8S ribosomal RNA", at positions 26 to 154 of the family's 154-position model. From Rfam's summary of the family: 5.8S ribosomal RNA (5.8S rRNA) is a component of the large subunit of the eukaryotic ribosome. It is transcribed by RNA polymerase I as part of the 45S precursor that also contains 18S and 28S rRNA. Functionally, it is thought that 5.8S rRNA may be involved in ribosome translocation. RNAcentral also lists the same sequence under 5 other names. The record is from RNAcentral. Lineage: Eukaryota; Metazoa; Nematoda; Chromadorea; Rhabditida; Gnathostomatidae.